ACUCAAGAGCAGAAGCAGCGAGGUCCACGAUGGGAAAAAUGAAUCCAGCAGUCCCUCCUAACUUGUACCCACCUGAGUGCAGGAAGAGACCUCAUACAAAGCAAGAAUGCAUUUGGGCUUGUGGCUCUUUUUAACCAUAUUUAAUCCAAUUCAGAGUUAAUGGUGAGCUCAGUGAAACUGGCCUAAGCAUUGCUGAAGAAGGGAAGAACAGAGUUGGAAGGCAGGAGCUAUUUCAAAGCAGGAUUCUUCUUUCUGUAACACUCAAACAUGGAAACUUUACAAACUUCAUUAGAUCCUGCCAUCAAUGACUGAGCUUCCCUGAAAUCUUCUUAUCAGUUACAGAUGAGAAGGGUAACAAGAAGGAGGAGUGCUUAAGUGGUUUUAAUGACAGUUAUUUUCAUCUAUUUAUCAAAUGACGGGUUGUCUUUUUUCCCUCAAAACUUGAUUGUCAUGACAAAAUGCUUUUGGAAGUCAUCUGUGUGAAAUAAAACUGACAAUUUUGGGGCUACAAAGA
Pezoporus flaviventris is the source of this 514-nucleotide long non-coding RNA. RefSeq lists it as uncharacterized. NCBI's taxonomy places the organism in Eukaryota, Metazoa, Chordata, Aves, Psittaciformes, Psittacidae. The transcript is spliced from 3 exons. The record is from RefSeq and is a predicted model, not a curated record.